Molecule: ribosomal RNA, 480 nt
Filed under: Streptococcus mitis
Lineage: Bacteria; Bacillati; Bacillota; Bacilli; Lactobacillales; Streptococcaceae
Description: bacterial SSU rRNA
Rfam family: Bacterial small subunit ribosomal RNA
Source: RNAcentral
GACGAACGCUGGCGGCGUGCCUAAUACAUGCAAGUAGAACGCUGAAGGAGGAGCUUGCUUCUCUGGAUGAGUUGCGAACGGGUGAGUAACGCGUAGGUAACCUGCCUGGUAGCGGGGGAUAACUAUUGGAAACGAUAGCUAAUACCGCAUAAGAGUAGAUGUUGCAUGACAUUUGCUUAAAAGGUGCAAUUGCAUCACUACCAGAUGGACCUGCGUUGUAUUAGCUAGUUGGUGAGGUAACGGCUCACCAAGGCAACGAUACAUAGCCGACCUGAGAGGGUGAUCGGCCACACUGGGACUGAGACACGGCCCAGACUCCUACGGGAGGCAGCAGUAGGGAAUCUUCGGCAAUGGACGGAAGUCUGACCGAGCAACGCCGCGUGAGUGAAGAAGGUUUUCGGAUCGUAAAGCUCUGUUGUAAGAGAAGAACGAGUGUGAGAGUGGAAAGUUCACACUGUGACGUAUCUACCAGAAGGGACG